Molecule: long non-coding RNA, 261 nt
Filed under: Homo sapiens (human)
Lineage: Eukaryota; Metazoa; Chordata; Mammalia; Primates; Hominidae
Description: long non-coding RNA NONHSAT125663.2
Source: RNAcentral
GAGAGAGAUGUCUUAUCAGGGGAAGAAAAAUAUUCCACGCAUCACGGCGAUCGUCUUCUGAUCAAAGGAGGUAAAAUUGUUAAUGAUGACCAGUCGUUCUAUGCAGACAUAUACAUGGAAGAUGGGUUGAUCAACAAAUAGGAGAAAAUCUGAUUGUGCCAGGAGGAGUGAAGACCAUCGAGGCCCACUCCCGGAUGGUGAUCCCCGGAGGAAUUGACGUCCACACUCGUUUCCAGAUGCCUGAUCAGGGAAUGACGUCUG